UACGUAGGCAGCGAGCGUUGUUCGGAGUUACUGGGCGUAAAGAGUGCGUAGACGGUUUUCUAAGUUUGGUGUGAAAUCUCCCGGCUUAACUGGGAGGGUGCGCCGAAAACUGGAAGGCUUGAGUAUGGGAGAGGUAAGCGGAAUUCCUGGUGUAGCGGUGAAAUGCGUAGAUAUCAGGAGGAACACCUGCGGUGUAGACGGCUUACUGGACCAUAACUGACGCUGAGGCACGAAAGCGUGGGUAGCAAACAGG
RNAcentral lists this ribosomal RNA (253 nucleotides) under uncultured bacterium. Its description in RNAcentral is "partial 16S ribosomal RNA". It matches the Rfam family "Bacterial small subunit ribosomal RNA", at positions 524 to 776 of the family's 1533-position model. The record is from RNAcentral.